This is a transfer RNA of Toxocara canis (dog roundworm), 71 nucleotides long. It matches the Rfam family "tRNA". From Rfam's summary of the family: Transfer RNA (tRNA) molecules are approximately 80 nucleotides in length. The record is from Rfam. Lineage: Eukaryota; Metazoa; Nematoda; Chromadorea; Rhabditida; Toxocaridae.
GCGGCAAUAGCUCAGUGAUACAGCCCCGCUUCGCGUGCGGGGAGGUCCGGGUUCGAUUCCCGGCUGCUUCC